This 454-nucleotide ribosomal RNA is filed under the name Streptococcus mitis. RNAcentral's name for it is "bacterial SSU rRNA". It matches the Rfam family "Bacterial small subunit ribosomal RNA", at positions 28 to 472 of the family's 1533-position model. The record is from RNAcentral. Lineage: Bacteria; Bacillati; Bacillota; Bacilli; Lactobacillales; Streptococcaceae.
GACGAACGCGGGCGGCGUGCCUAAUACAUGCAAGUAGAACGCUGAAGGAGGAGCUUGCUUCUCUGGAUGAGUUGCGAACGGGUGAGUAACGCGUAGGUAACCUGCCUGGUAGCGGGGGAUAACUAUUGGAAACGAUAGCUAAUACCGCAUAAUAGCAGUUGUUGCAUGACAACUGUUUGAAAGGUGCAAUUGCAUCACUACCAGAUGGACCUGCGUUGUAUUAGCUAGUUGGUGGGGUAACGGCUCACCAAGGCGACGAUACAUAGCCGACCUGAGAGGGUGAUCGGCCGCACUGGGACUGAGACACGGCCCAGACUCCUACGGGAGGCAGCAGUAGGGAAUCUUCGGCAAUGGACGGAAGUCUGACCGAGCAACGCCGCGUGAGUGAAGAAGGUUUUCGGAUCGUAAAGCUCUGUUGUAAGAGAAGAACGACGUGUGAGAGUGGAAAGUUCAC